AGACCGAUCUGAAAGACCAGUUGCCUCAACCAGUGCCUCUUCAAAUAACCCUCAAGAAGUUGAGCUUGAAACUACAAACACAUCUGAAGCCUCAACUACCAAACAUUUUGGAGAAGUAGAUGCACAUCGGAUUAUUGAUUUACAAGUACAUCUACUCCAAGAUGCAAUGGACUGUGAUGAACCCAGAUCAACAGCAUCUAAUGAUUGGGCACUGAGGCGAUCCUUGUCUGAA
Long non-coding RNA from Triplophysa dalaica, 232 nucleotides. RefSeq lists it as uncharacterized. NCBI's taxonomy places the organism in Eukaryota, Metazoa, Chordata, Actinopteri, Cypriniformes, Nemacheilidae. The transcript has 3 exons. The record is from RefSeq and is a predicted model, not a curated record.